UGCUUCCAUAAAUUGAGAGACACUCUGGCUGUGAAAGGGCCAUCAUUAAUUACAUGAUUAUUAACCGUAUGAAAUAUGGAGAAUUGGUUUAAAUUCAGGAUCUGUGUCAAAUUAAACGUGUAGGUAGCUUGCAAAACUUAAAAUUAUUCGAUGUUAUCUUCUUGAGCCAGACUAAUUUUCCACUUCCAUAGUUAGGAAUUCAAUUGAGAGUGCAUGUAUCAAAGUGUUAAAAAAGGCCAGUUGUUCCAAGAAAAAAAAAAAGAUUCUAUGCCAAUCUCCAUUUAAGGCCAGAGUCAUUAAAAUCUUCCUGAUGUUAGGUCCUAACAACUACAAAUCAAAUAUCGACCAAAACUGUGAAGAAGGUUUUUGCUUUGGCCAAAAUAUAGCUAAAAUUAAUAUCUUCUUAUCCCUGAAAAAUGUGCAGCUAAAUGAGUUUGUCAUGUGUAUUCUUUGUUGAAGGGUAAAGUUGUAAAUAUUAGAACACAAUCUAGCUUUUGCAUUUCUAAUUGAAGAUUAAUGCACCUAAACUGGAAAAGGAAUGGAAUUUUUGCAUGAUAAGAAUGCUUACUUGUAAAUUCUGUGGCAUUUUAAGCCUCCUGUUUGUUUCUCUUUCCUCUCUUGAAUAGUUUUACCCAGGUUUUACGCAGGAGCAUAAGUCAUUUGCUUUGCAUAGAUUGGAUUUGAAUUUUCAAUUGAUAUGCUUCCUGAAAACUAACUAAAUUAUUUUUAUGAGUUUGAGGAGGUCCUUGAAAAUAACAGGAGUUAUUUUGUUUGCAUUUGAAUGUUUCGUGAUGGGAAUAAGCCCUCAUUCAUUGAUGAAUUAUACACUGCACCAAUAUAACUCAAGUGGAUUUGGCAAAUCAUUGAUUGACAGGGAGAGUCAAGCAUCUCCGAAAGAGACUUUAGGAACUGAGUUACUUACUAUCUCUGUUUUAAUAUCAUUAAAGUGGUGCAGACAGAAAAUUGGGGAUGUCAAUUAUGUUAGAUUAGAAGCUUGAAUUGUUUUCUGAUGGAUAGACAUUGAACUGUCCAUGUUGUUUUCUUAAAGACUGCCUCAUCAUUCAAAUAGUUUCUUUCUGUUUCUGAAUGAAAUUCUAUGUAAUAUUGUGUCCCAUUUCAUUUUGAGUUAUCCUGCUAAAUGUGUAAUUGGCCUAUUUUUAUUUUGUAAAAUAGGGGUAUUGAGAUUACCGAAGCUCUGCGAUUACAGAUGGAA
Molecule: unclassified non-coding RNA, 1213 nt
Filed under: Hevea brasiliensis (rubber tree)
Lineage: Eukaryota; Viridiplantae; Streptophyta; Magnoliopsida; Malpighiales; Euphorbiaceae
Source: RNAcentral